This 254-nucleotide ribosomal RNA is filed under the name uncultured bacterium. RNAcentral describes it as "partial 16S ribosomal RNA". It matches the Rfam family "Bacterial small subunit ribosomal RNA", at positions 524 to 777 of the family's 1533-position model. The record is from RNAcentral.
UACGGAGGGUGCGAGCGUUGUCCGGAAUCAUUGGGCGUAAAGGGCGCGUAGGUGGCGCGGCAAGCGUGCGGUGAAAGCUCGGGGCUCAACCCCGAGUCGGCCGUGCGAACUGCUGGGCUUGAGCACUGUAGAGGCAGGCGGAAUUCCGGGUGUAGCGGUGGAAUGCGUAGAGAUCCGGAAGAACACCGGUGGCGAAGGCGGCUUGCCAGAACGCGCUCGACGGUGAGGGAUGAAAGCUGGGGGAGCAAACCGGG